UCGAGGGGCAGCGGUGGUGAAGGCUUGCCUUUACCAGCCGGCGACCGGCGCACGGGUGAGUAACACGUAUGCAACCUGCCUGCCACAGCCGGAUAAUCGGGAGAAAUUCCGUCUAAUACGGCAUAAUGCACCUAUGGGACAUCCUGUUGGUGCCAAAGGUUAAUUCCGGUGGCGGAUGGGCAUGCGUCGCAUUAGUUAGUUGGCGGUGUAACGGACCACCAAGACGACGAUGCGUAGGGGUUCUGAGAGGAAGGUCCCCCACACUGGUACUGAGACACGGACCAGACUCCUACGGGAGGCAGCAGUGAGGAAUAUUGGUCAAUGGCCGUAAGGCUGAACCAGCCAAGUAGCGUGAGGGAAGACUGCCCUAUGGGUUGUAAACCUCUUUUAUGCGGGGAUAAAGGUGUCCACGUGUGGAUGUUUGCAGGUACCGCAUGAAUAAGGACCGGCUAAUUCCGUGCCAGCAGCCGCGGUAAUACGGAAGGUCCGGGCGUUAUCCGGAUUUAUUGGGUUUAAAGGGAGCGUAGGCCGGUCUUUAAGCGUGCCGUGAAAUUUUGUGGCUCAACCAUGAGAGUGCGGCGCGAACUGGAGACCUUGAGUGCGCGGAAGGCAGGCGGAAUUCGUGGUGUAGCGGUGAAAUGCUUAGAUAUCACGAAGAACCCCGAUUGCGAAGGCAGCCUGCCGCAGCGUUACUGACGCUGAAGCUCGAAAGCGCGGGUAUCGAACAGGAUUAGAUACCCUGGUAGUCCGCGCGGUAAACGAUGGAUGCCCGCUGUCGGCGAUAUACAGUCGGCGGCCAAGCGAAAGCGUUAGGCAUCC
RNAcentral lists this ribosomal RNA (819 nucleotides) under uncultured bacterium. RNAcentral's name for it is "bacterial SSU rRNA". It matches the Rfam family "Bacterial small subunit ribosomal RNA", at positions 62 to 869 of the family's 1533-position model. The record is from RNAcentral.